AGGGGAGCCGGAGGGAAACCGAGUCUUAAUUGGGCGUUAAGUUGCAGGGUAUAGACCCGAAACCCGGUGAUCUAGCCAUGGGCAGGUUGAAGGUUGGGUAACACUAACUGGAGGACCGAACCGACUAAUGUUGAAAAAUUAGCGGAUGACCUGUGGCUGGGGGUGAAAGGCCAAUCAAACCGGGAGAUAGCUGGUUCUCCCCGAAAGCUAUUUAGGUAGCGCCUCGUGAAUUCAUCUCCGGGGGUAGAGCACUGUUUCGGCUAGGGGGCCAUCCCGGCUUACCAACCCGAUGCAAACUGCGAAUACCGGAGAAUGUUAUCACGGGAGACACACGGCGGGUGCUAACGUCCGUCGUGAAGAGGGAAACAACCCAGACCGCCAGCUAAGGUCCCAAAGUCAUGGUUAAGUGGGAAACGAUGUGGGAAGGCCCAGACAGCCAGGAUGUUGGCUUAGAAGCAGCCAUCAUUUAAAGAAAGCGUAAUAGCUCACUGGUCGAGUCGGCCUGCGCGGAAGAUGUAACGGGGCUAAACCAUGCACCGAAGCUGCGGCAGCGACACUGUGUGUUGUUGGGUAGGGGAGCGUUCUGUAAGCCUGCGAAGGUGGCCUGUGAGGGUUGCUGGAGGUAUCAGAAGUGCGAAUGCUGACAUAAGUAACGAUAAAGCGGGUGAAAAGCCCGCUCGCCGGAAGACCAAGGGUUCCUGUCCAACGUUAAUCGGGGCAGGGUGAGUCGACCCCUAAGGCGAGGCCGAAAGGCGUAGUCGAUGGGAAACGGGUUAAUAUUCCCGUACUUGGUGUUACUGCGAAGGGGGGACGGAGAAGGCUAUGUUGGCCGGGCGACGGUUGUCCCGGUUUAAGCGUGUAGGUGUGUGUUCCAGGUAAAUCCGGUUCACUUUAACACUGAGGCGUGACGACGAGGCACUACGGUGCUGAAGCAACAAAUGCCCUGCUUCCAGGAAAAGCCUCUAAGCAUCAGGUAACAUCAAAUCGUACCCCAAACCGACACAGGUGGUCAGGUAGAGAAUACCAAGGCGCUUGAGAGAACUCGGGUGAAGGAACUAGGCAAAAUGGUGCCGUAACUUCGGGAGAAGGCACGCUGACACGUAGGUGAAGUGAUUUACUCAUGGAGCUGAAGUCAGUCGAAGAUACCAGCUGGCUGCAACUGUUUAUUAAAAACACAGCACUGUGCAAACACGAAAGUGGACGUAUACGGUGUGACGCCUGCCCGGUGCCGGAAGGUUAAUUGAUGGGGUCAGCGCAAGCGAAGCUCCUGAUCGAAGCCCCGGUAAACGGCGGCCGUAACUAUAACGGUCCUAAGGUAGCGAAAUUCCUUGUCGGGUAAGUUCCGACCUGCACGAAUGGCGUAAUGAUGGCCAGGCUGUCUCCACCCGAGACUCAGUGAAAUUGAACUCGCUGUGAAGAUGCAGUGUACCCGCGGCAAGACGGAAAGACCCCGUGAACCUUUACUAUAGCUUGACACUGAACAUUGAGCCUUGAUGUGUAGGAUAGGUGGGAGGCUUUGAAGUGUGGACGCCAGUCUGCAUGGAGCCGACCUUGAAAUACCACCCUUUAAUGUUUGAUGUUCUAACGUGGACCCGUUACCCGGGUUGCGGACAGUGUCUGGUGGGUAGUUUGACUGGGGCGGUCUCCUCCUAAAGAGUAACGGAGGAGCACGAAGGUUGGCUAAUCCUGGUCGGACAUCAGGAGGUUAGUGCAAUGGCAUAAGCCAGCUUGACUGCGAGCGUGACGGCGCGAGCAGGUGCGAAAGCAGGUCAUAGUGAUCCGGUGGUUCUGAAUGGAAGGGCCAUCGCUCAACGGAUAAAAGGUACUCCGGGGAUAACAGGCUGAUACCGCCCAAGAGUUCAUAUCGACGGCGGUGUUUGGCACCUCGAUGUCGGCUCAUCACAUCCUGGGGCUGAAGUAGGUCCCAAGGGUAUGGCUGUUCGCCAUUUAAAGUGGUACGCGAGCUGGGUUUAGAACGUCGUGAGACAGUUCGGUCCCUAUCUGCCGUGGGCGCUGGAGAACUGAGGGGGGCUGCUCCUAGUACGAGAGGACCGGAGUGGACGCAUCACUGGUGUUCGGGUUGUCAUGCCAAUGGCACUGCCCGGUAGCUAAAUGCGGAAGAGAUAAGUGCUGAAAGCAUCUAAGCACGAAACUUGCCCCGAG
Molecule: ribosomal RNA, 2163 nt
Filed under: Salmonella enterica subsp. enterica serovar Enteritidis
Lineage: Bacteria; Pseudomonadati; Pseudomonadota; Gammaproteobacteria; Enterobacterales; Enterobacteriaceae
Description: partial 23S ribosomal RNA
Rfam family: Bacterial large subunit ribosomal RNA
Source: RNAcentral